CUUCAACGACCCCAAGAACAGGGGCCGUUCACGGUCCUGCCCAUAGGUGGCGAUGACCGACUCGGCUUC
Molecule: small RNA, 69 nt
Filed under: Streptomyces scopuliridis RB72
Lineage: Bacteria; Bacillati; Actinomycetota; Actinomycetes; Kitasatosporales; Streptomycetaceae
Description: Aspks sRNA
Source: RNAcentral